Molecule: long non-coding RNA, 558 nt
Organism: Ananas comosus (pineapple)
Lineage: Eukaryota; Viridiplantae; Streptophyta; Magnoliopsida; Poales; Bromeliaceae
Exons: 2
Source: RefSeq, a predicted model, not a curated record
CAACUGUCCUGUCUCCCCUCUCGGACGGGAGUUGACAAGUUAAAAUCUAGACGUCGAUCCACGAAGAGCUAACAAAUUAAUCAGGUGUGAAAUGGUGGCGAAAAUUGUGCUGGUUGUGAGCUGUGAAAUGAAAUCAUUUUCGGAACGACAAGGAGAAGAAGAAGAAGAAGAAGAAGAAAUGCUUUUUCCACCCAAACUUGGGGUGAUGAUUCAUGCCGCAUUGUAUUUUUCAGCUUCCUCGUUAAUUGCUCACAGUUGGAUUCAUCAAUAGCUUCUUCGCUUUAAAAAAAAAGUUUAUAAUUUGUUCCAUCGUGAUAGUCUGAUAAAUAAUAUGCUUGUAUUAAACUAUUGAUUCUCUGAUAUGUCCAAUGUUUUUCUUUUUGUUUUGUUUAAAAGGCUAUCUUAUUAGUGGAAGUGACAAUUCAGGUCGAUAGGUUUUAUUUUUAUUUUCGCAAUUGGGUUAGUGGGAGCAAUUUAAAAUGUGUGUCUAAAUGCUUAUAACUUAGUUGCGAAUACUGCAAAAAAAGUAAAAUAAUUUGUAUGAUUUAUAAUUUUAUA